GGGGAUUUAGCUCAGUGGUAGAGCGCUUGCCUAGUAACUGCAAGGCCCUGGGUUCGGUCCCCAGCUCCG
Molecule: non-coding RNA, 69 nt
Organism: Rattus norvegicus (Norway rat)
Lineage: Eukaryota; Metazoa; Chordata; Mammalia; Rodentia; Muridae
Source: Rfam